CCUUAGAGUUUGAUCCUGGCUCAGGACGAACGCUGGCGGCGUGCUUAACACAUGCAAGUCGAACGGGGUGUUUAUUUCGGUAAACACCAAGUGGCGAACGGGUGAGUAACGCGUAAGCAAUCUACCUUCAAGAUGGGGACAACACUUCGAAAGGGGUGCUAAUACCGAAUGAAUGUAAGAGUAUCGCAUGAGACACUUACUAAAGGAGGCCUCUGACAUAAGCUUCCGCUUGAAGAUGAGCUUGCGUCUGAUUAGCUAGUUGGUGAGGGUAAAGGCCCACCAAGGCGACGAUCAGUAGCCGGUCUGAGAGGAUGAACGGCCACAUUGGGACUGAGACACGGCCCAGACUCCUACGGGAGGCAGCAGUGGGGAAUCUUCCGCAAUGGGCGAAAGCCUGGCGGAGCAACGCCGCGUGAACGAUGAAGGUCUUAGGAUCGUAAAGUUCUGUUGUUAGGGACGAAGGGUAAGGAUCAUAAUAAGGUUUUUAUUUGACGGUACCUAACGAGGAAGCCACGGCUAACUACGUGCCAGCAGCCGCGGUAAUACGUAGGCGGCAAGCGUUGUCCGGAAUUAUUGGGCGUAAAGGGAGCGCAGGCGGGAAACUAAGCGGAUCUUAAAAGUGCGGGGCUCAACCCCGUGAUGGGGUCCGAACUGGUUUUCUUGAGUGCAGGAGAGGAAAGCGGAAUUCCCAGUGUAGCGGUGAAAUGCGUAGAUAUUGGGAAGAACACCAGUGGCGAAGGCGGCUUUCUGGACUGUAACUGACGCUGAGGCUCGAAAGCUAGGGUAGCGAACGGGAUUAGAUACCCCGGUAGUCCUAGCCGUAAACGAUGGAUACUAGGUGUGGGAGGUAUCGACUCCUUCCGUGCCGGAGUUAACGCAAUAAGUAUCCCGCCUGGGGAGUACGGCCGCAAGGUU
RNAcentral lists this ribosomal RNA (915 nucleotides) under uncultured bacterium. Its description in RNAcentral is "bacterial SSU rRNA". It matches the Rfam family "Bacterial small subunit ribosomal RNA", at positions 1 to 895 of the family's 1533-position model. The record is from RNAcentral.